This 72-nucleotide transfer RNA is filed under the name Camelus bactrianus (Bactrian camel). It matches the Rfam family "tRNA". Rfam says of the family: Transfer RNA (tRNA) molecules are approximately 80 nucleotides in length. Their secondary structure includes four short double-helical elements and three loops (D, anti-codon, and T loops). The record is from Rfam by way of RNAcentral. RNAcentral also lists the same sequence under 2 other names. Lineage: Eukaryota; Metazoa; Chordata; Mammalia; Artiodactyla; Camelidae.
GAGGGUGUAGCUCAGUGGUAGAGUGCGUGCUUAGCAUGCACGAGGUCCUGGCUUCCAUCCCCACUACCUUCA